This 200-nucleotide ribosomal RNA is filed under the name uncultured bacterium. Its description in RNAcentral is "partial 16S ribosomal RNA". It matches the Rfam family "Bacterial small subunit ribosomal RNA", at positions 8 to 200 of the family's 1533-position model. The record is from RNAcentral.
AGAGUUUGAUCCUGGCUCAGGACGAACGCUGGCGGCGUGCCUAAUACAUGCAAGUCGAACGAAUCAAGUUGGGAGCUUGCUCCUAACUUGGUUAGUGGCGGACGGGUGAGUAACACGUAGGCAACCUGCCCUCAAGAUCGGGAUAACAUUCGGAAACGAAUGCUAAGACCGGAUACACAAUAUUGCCGCAUGGUGAGAUU